Long non-coding RNA from Magnolia sinica, 591 nucleotides. RefSeq lists it as uncharacterized. NCBI's taxonomy places the organism in Eukaryota, Viridiplantae, Streptophyta, Magnoliopsida, Magnoliales, Magnoliaceae. The record is from RefSeq and is a predicted model, not a curated record. The transcript has 2 exons.
AGUUCUAGAUCCGCCUGAUUUUUUGAUUCCUGUCCCAUUACAAUCUUGCGAAACUGAUAGAUGGAGUGAAUUUGUCACGAGAAUUUCUAUGGCCCCACAUAGCUUCCGACCAUAAGGAACUUCAGGUGGCCGGGGAACAGGCAAUUCGCCCCCAAUUAUUUCACAAGGGACCAGAUGAAUGGCACACAUGCUAAUGUGGCAUACGUGUGCGAAAUCCAGGCCUUUUGUCUGGAAACCGCCGAAGCGAAUGUGUCCUGAUUAAAAGAUCAGGCUGGUCCACACAUAGAAAAUCAAUGGAUGGUAAAUGGUCCAGAUUUGUCAGUGGAAAAUUCCAAAAUUUUAGGAUACGGCACAUUGAUCAUGGGGCCUGUUUGAUGGACGGCGCAGAUUUUGGCACGAGUGGGGCACUAUUCGUCUGCCCAGCUUAAUGUUAUAAUAGAACUUUCAUACAGGUUUAGUACUGUAUGUGAACGUACUGUUAUAGGAUAGCGGGUGGAUCUGAAGUCAUGUUCGGUGAUCGAAACCGUUGAUCUGAUGAGAAAUGCAAACGAUAAUGGUUGGCUGAAAUAUCUUCAAGAUUUAAAAUUUCCA